This 253-nucleotide ribosomal RNA is filed under the name uncultured bacterium. RNAcentral describes it as "partial 16S ribosomal RNA". It matches the Rfam family "Bacterial small subunit ribosomal RNA", at positions 524 to 776 of the family's 1533-position model. The record is from RNAcentral.
UACAGAGGUCCCGAGCGUUGUUCGGAUUCACUGGGCGUAAAGGGUGCGUAGGUGGUGGGGUAAGUCGGAUGUGAAAUCUCGGAGCUCAACUCCGAAAUGGCAUUGGAAACUACCCUGCCGGAGGUUUGGAGGGGGGACUGGAAUUCUCGGUGUAGCAGUGAAAUGCGUAGAUAUCGAGAGGAACACCAGUGGCGAAGGCGGCUCACUGGCCCGGUACUGACGCUGAGGUGCGAAAGCGUGGGGAGCAAACAGG